This is an RNA transcript of Glycine soja, 3520 nucleotides long. It is a transcript of the gene named serine/arginine repetitive matrix protein 1-like, with no coding region annotated. NCBI's taxonomy places the organism in Eukaryota, Viridiplantae, Streptophyta, Magnoliopsida, Fabales, Fabaceae. The record is from RefSeq and is a predicted model, not a curated record. The transcript has 14 exons.
GUCAGUUCAAUUAGGGCACGCUUCCAGUAGGUUCUGAAACCCAACACAGCUCCCGCAGUCGACCUCUGGAACUUGGUUAUCUUUUCCGCCAACAGUGUUGAGAAUCAGAAUUCAGAACCCAUACAUCUUCUAUCCCUUAUUUAUAUCGCUGUAUCGGCGCGUGCCAUAGCUUGAACCAAAGUGCUGCUCCGAAUCCACCUUUCUUCGCGCGUAGAUUCUCACGCGCAGUCUCCGCCACACACUCUUCUCUCCGUUCGGUAGCGAUUGGCUUUAGAAGAUGUCGGGCGGUUUCUUUAGAGGCACAUCUGCGGAUCAGGACACUCGGUUUUCGAACAAGCAAGCGAAGCUGAUGAAAUCGCAGAAGUUUGCACCGGAAUUGGAGCAUCUGGUGGACAUGACGAAGGUGAAUAUGGAAGUGAUUAAGCCUUGGAUCACCAGAAGGGUGACCGAGCUUCUUGGGUUUGAAGAUGAAGUGCUUAUUAACUUCAUACACAGUCUUCUGGAUGCAAAGGAAGUGAAUGGGAAAGAAGUUCAAAUACAAAUUACAGGAUUUAUGGAAAAGAACACUGGAAAGUUCAUGAAAGAGCUUUGGAUGCUGCUUCUCAGUGCGCAGAAAAAUGCCAGUGGUGUUCCUCAGCAGUUCUUGGAUGCCAAGGAAGAAGAACUCCUGAAGAAGAAGGCUGAAAGUGAUCUGAUUGCAAGUGAAAUUCAGAGGAAAAAAGAUAAGGAAGGUAGAGAGAUCAUGGAAGAGAGGUUGAAGAAACUGGACGGUGGAUUUGAUUCGAAGGAUAAUGAUACUGCAUCAGAUCCAACUUUGAAGCCCAGGGAUUCAGGGUACUACGAGCGGGAUGGGAAGGAAACUGAUAAGAGGAAUGGUGUAAGAGCAAGGAGCAGGUUUUCUAGGUCUCCACAUUCACCUGCAGUUUCCACUUCGCCUCAUCGAGGCUCACCUUCAAGGUCAAUGAGCAAAUCAUUUUCAAAUUCUCGAAGUUAUUCAGGUGGUAGACACAGGUCAAGGAGUAUAUCUAGGUCUCCAGAGGCUCGAGGUCGCUCUCGUUCUUUUGAAAGGAUUCGUCAUUCUCCACGACGACGGUCUAUUUCUCCUCACAGGCAUUCACCACGACGUUCUCCUUAUAGGAGGAUACCUUAUUCAAGAAGAUCUAGAUCUCCUUCUCCUGUACGACGUAGAAUGCAUUCUCCAGUUCAUCGUAGAUCACCAUCUUUUCGACGACGUAGAUCACCUUCUCUUGUGCGACGGCGUAGACCACCUUCUCCAAUACGUCGACGUAGAUCACCUUCCCCUGUGCGUCGGCGUAGAUCACCUUCCCCUGGGCGCCGACGUAGAUCACCUUCCCCCGGGCCUCGACACAGAUCACCUUCUCCCGGGCCUCGACACAAAUCACCUUCUCCUGGGCGCCAUCAUAGAUCACCAUCACCUCUUGGACGACGAAGGUCACUCUCACCUAGACGACGAAGAUCAGUUGUUACUCGGCAUAGGUCACCUUCACUAGUACGCCGAAUACCACCAACCAAUGUGCGGAGAAGAUCAGACUCCCCCAUGCAAUCCCCCUCCCCCAUACGACGAAGGUAUGGUAGUAGAACUCCUCCACACUCUCCAUCUCCAUUGCGACGUAGAUCACCUAUUCCUGGUAAGCAAAGAUCUCCUAGUAUCUCCCCACAGAGGUCUCCUCGAGAUGAAUGGAGUUCUCAAUCUCCAAUACGGCGUGUAUCUCCAUCUCCAAUCAGGAAAAAUUCUCCAAGACACAAAAGAAGUCCCUUGCCGUCUUCUAUGGGGAGAGUCAGAACACAAGAAAGAUUGUCAUCUGAGACUCGGCAACCCUCUAGUCCCCUGGGGUCUACACGAAGAGAUAAAAGUGGCAAAGCUUCACACUAUAAAUCACAAGAUUCAAUGUCCACACAAGAGAAGUCUCCAAUUCGAUCUGUAUCUCCAGAAGAGAGGAGUGAGACAAGCAGUGAAGGUCGAAGUCCUCAUGAGAGCCCUAUGAAACAAAGAAGAGAAAAGUUGUCCAAUGAAAGAAGCAUGAGUCCUCUGAAGAAACAAAGAACCCAGAAACCUAGCCGUGACAGCCCAGAUACAAGAGAAGAAGCAGAAGAAACAUACUAUUCCAGAGAAAGCAGAGAUCCAAAAAUGAAUUCAUCACAAAAGAUAUCAAAACAUUCCCCCAUCAGUAAGCGAAAAGGUUCACCUGCAAAAUUUCGUCAUGAGGAUUUCUCUCCUGAAAGGGUGUCAGGUCAUACAGCUUCUGAACAUCAUUAUGAUAACGAUGAUUGGAGUAAGAAAGGCCGGGAGAUAAAACGUGAUAAAUCUUCCAGACAGGGCAAUGAAUUUCCUGCUCAAAAGUCAUCAAUCAACAAAGAAACUUUUUCCAGGGAGAAGCCUCAAGAAUCUUAUGCUGUAGAUGUUAAAAAAUCAGAUGACAAGGACCAAUCCCGUUCAAACUAUGCCAAAAGUAGUGGUCGACACCACAAAUCCGAAGCCACUCAAGAUUUAGUUGGAAAAGGUGAUCGUGUCAAUCACAGUGCUUCAUAUGAUUCUGUUUCUGAGGAUAGUGGUAAGCAUAGACGGGAGGGAAAGGAUAGGAAAAGGCAUAAAAGGUCUGAGAAAAAGUAUGCAUCUUCUGAUGAGGAUUAUAGUGAUGAUUCUGAGUUAGAGGACAGGAAAGAGGCUAAGAGGAGGAGAAAAGAGGAGAAGAAGCUGCGGAAGGAGGAGAAGCGUCGAAGACGUGAAGAGAAGCGACGCAGAAGGGAAGAACGGCGUGCAGAGAAGCUGAAAAUGAAGAGUAAAACAGACGAUAUUUCAGAUGAUGAGGAAGCUAAACAAAUGGGUUAUCAUCAAAGUGAUAGUGAAGAUGAGCAAAAGAAGCUUGAGAUUGAAUUGCGGAACAAGGCUCUUGAAUCCCUCAAAGCAAAGAGGGGCGUGAAUAACUAAAUGCAUCAAAUCCAAGUUUUAAGUUGUUUUAUGCUUUAAAAACUUAUUGAGAAAUAUCUUAGCUUGUUAAGGAACUUGGCUUUACAAAUGUUAUGUUUUUUUAUUCAUUGGUAAGUGUUUGAUGUCAUCUAUCUUUAAUGCUGGCAGCGGAAAUGGAUAAAUGACGCUUUCUGAGCAAAUCUGUUGAGUACAACUCUAUGCAGACAUUGUCCUAUAUUUACUGAUGAAUUUUAUGUCAACCAGAUGACCUGGUGGGAAGACCAUGUGCAGACCUUUAUUUUGAACUUCAAUUCAGGUGAAGUUUUUCAUUCUUUUAGUUCUAGAAUAGCUUCAUAGUAAAUCUGUUGUAUAUACGUAGGUGGUUCUUUCUGAUUGUGUAUUUUUCAAAACUAAACAUUGGCAUCUCGGGAGUUUUUCCUGGGCUGUGUCCCGGAAUUCUCCAUGAUUUAUUUGUUGGGUCCAUCGAGGUUGAUGUAGUUGUAUGCUUUGUACAAAUGUGUUGUCGUGUACUUACUUUGAUUGUGUGCAAGAAUUUGGUGAUAUCUUUUAAGUUUUAAGCAUUCUGGUCUA